GAUAAUUUUUAAGGACCCCAAACCUACAACACAAUUUCAAGAGGAAACUGAACUAAUAAUAAAUAAAUAGCAACAUAUAAUGAGUCGAUCAUUAGCUCUACCUUUUCAAUUAGCAGUACAUAGUAAGAAAUAAAACAAUAUGCAGGAAUCAUCAAAGCACUAACAAUGCAACAGGAUCAUGAGCUUUUCUAGUGGUUUGCCUUGCUAAUGCAUGAGCAAUAAAAUUAACUUCCAUUGGAGCAAUUAUGGAACAGUGGAAUUUAAGCAGGCAAAAAUGAUUAAGUUGAGCUUCUUAAGAAAAUAAAUGGAAAUAAUCUAAUUAAUGAUCGUUAUUUAACCCUUACCAACGUAAUGACAUUUUUUCCGGCACAGGAACAUAUAUAGAAAAGCAAAAUAUGUAUAAGAGAACCUUUGACUUGAAGGAAAAACCACUUCUAUCAUUCCACCAGGUUACAUAUUGUUUCAGAAUUUAACAAUGAACUUUUGUAAACAACAAAAGCUGCUAUCUUUUU
RNAcentral lists this unclassified non-coding RNA (512 nucleotides) under Hevea brasiliensis (rubber tree). The record is from RNAcentral. Lineage: Eukaryota; Viridiplantae; Streptophyta; Magnoliopsida; Malpighiales; Euphorbiaceae.